UACAGAGACUGCAAGCGUUAUUCGGAUUCACUGGGCGUAAAGGGUGCGCAGGCGGCCAAGUGUGUUAGGCGUGAAAGCCUGAGGCUUAACCUCAGAAUUGCACCUAAAACUACAUAGCUAGAGCAUUGGAGAGGGUAGCGGAAUUCACGGUGUAGCAGUGAAAUGCGUAGAUAUCGUGAGGAACACCAGAGGCGAAGGCGGCUACCUGGACAAUUGCUGACGCUCAGGCACGAAAGCGUGGGGAGCAAAAGGG
Molecule: ribosomal RNA, 253 nt
Filed under: uncultured bacterium
Lineage: Bacteria
Description: partial 16S ribosomal RNA
Rfam family: Bacterial small subunit ribosomal RNA
Source: RNAcentral